This 78-nucleotide small RNA is filed under the name Xanthomonas oryzae. RNAcentral's name for it is "sX9 sRNA". It matches the Rfam family "Xanthomonas sRNA sX9". Lineage: Bacteria; Pseudomonadati; Pseudomonadota; Gammaproteobacteria; Lysobacterales; Lysobacteraceae. The record is from RNAcentral.
AUGUACCACGCGUCCACCAGGAUUCCUGCGCGCUUCAUCCACGCAUGCCUGACGACUGCCCGCCACGGUUCGGUUGCC